This 116-nucleotide ribosomal RNA is filed under the name Priestia megaterium. The record is from RNAcentral. Lineage: Bacteria; Bacillati; Bacillota; Bacilli; Caryophanales; Bacillaceae. RNAcentral also lists the same sequence under 4 other names.
UUUGGUGGCGAUAGCGAAGAGGUCACACCCGUUCCCAUACCGAACACGGAAGUUAAGCUCUUUAGCGCCAAUGGUAGUUGGGACUUUGUCCCUGUGAGAGUAGGACGUUGCCAGGC